GUGCUCACGUCGGCAGCACAUCUACUAGAAUUGGAACGAUCCCCAGGUUAGCAUGGUCCCUCCGCAAGGAUGACACGCAAAUUCCUGAAGCAGUCCAUAUUUUU
Molecule: small nuclear RNA, 104 nt
Organism: Hyaena hyaena (striped hyena)
Lineage: Eukaryota; Metazoa; Chordata; Mammalia; Carnivora; Hyaenidae
Source: RefSeq, a predicted model, not a curated record